AGGGGAAUAGCUGGUUCAAAUGGUGGUUCCAUUCGCAGCUUUCAAAGGAAUCUAAAUACUGCUUUCCAAAUUGCCUGCACCAAUUUGCAGUCCCACGAGCAAU
Molecule: microRNA precursor, 103 nt
Filed under: Marmota monax (woodchuck)
Lineage: Eukaryota; Metazoa; Chordata; Mammalia; Rodentia; Sciuridae
Source: RNAcentral